AACAUGUUGUGCUCUCUUUUGUGCUGGCAAAAAGGAGAAAGAAAGAAAAAAGGGUUUCUGCAACAACAGAAACACGAGACUCCCCGCGUUCGGAUAAAACCAAGAGGAGAACUCUCCAGGAGGAGAAGCAGCUGAGGUUUGAAGAGAGAUGAUGGCUAAGAGAAUUCGUUUUGGAGCUGCAUGAGCAACCCGGCGGAGGAAAACAUGCUUCCUAUCAGUGUUGUUUCUGCUGUGUCUGCGAUGGAGGAAAUGAGAGCAGAGGCUGAGGGGGAGUGAGCAGGACUGAGGAAGAGAAAGGAGAAGAAACAAGGGUGAUAAGGGCCAAGCAGGCCUCUUAUGAACUUCUCUUGGGCUGUGCAUGUUCCAGGCAGUAGGAAUAUGAAAGGAAAUUGCUCUCUGAGCCCUGGCGUCUGUUCUCUUUACAAUGUGUGUCUUCAUGUCAGCUUUGUAUUCAUCCAUUUUCUUACACCAGAUCCAGUGGGUUACUGCAGAUAGGAGAAGCCAGUAGCUAUGUAUUUACUGCACCAUCCAUACCAUCCAUACAUAAACCCUUUGUUUCAGAGAAACCUCUUAGCUAGGCUGAUCCGCAAGUUUGGGUAAGGUAGAGGAUGAGGCUUAAAACGAUCACAGCAAAGCUCGAGUCCCUGAUUGGAGAGGGCCUUGGUACCUGCUGGGACGAGGACAGGAACAUCCACUGAAUUCCUCUGGAGGUAAAAGGACCUUCCCUAUACCAGAAGCCAAAAAACAAGGCACUAUACUAGGAUGUUACUGGAAACUGGGAAAAUGUAUCGGGGGGCAUGUCUGCCCUAUUCUUUUAUUAUUCCCUUAGCAUCCAUAAUUAGCUGCUGCUGGAAAGCCCGGGUGCAACAGGCCUGCCCUAGCAGAGUGCAGCUACUCUGGCAGCCUGACACUGUUCCUCCACGAGGAGUAGUCACACUAACCUGAACAGCACCGUUCUUGGAUGUGUUAUAUCAUGACUGCAUCCAAGUGCUUACAGGAUUUUGACUUACCAAAGUUUGCAGGGCUUCUGCUUUGGUCUAGCUUUUUGGGCAUCAGUAGAGAUGCCCGGUGCAUUGUUGUGAGAGCCAGGGUCUGCCCUGCUUGCUGCUACCAGAGCUUUUGGGGACACACUCCCAGGCCUGUGGCACACAUUGUAAUGCUGCAGAGGAUUUUGACUAUGGCUAAAAGAAAAAAAAAAAAAAAAAAAAAGAGCCAUCUGAAGACAGAAGGAGAGACCUGGCUGAGUCCCGGGAGAGGGGCUGGAGCUGGGAGGAAUUUCACUGCAGCAAUGAUCAGCAUCUUCUGCAGAGAAGAGAGCAGCAAGAAUGCGAAGCAUCUGUCCUAUCUGCAACGUACUGUGACGAGAGAGUCGCCCUCUGCUACGAGCCUGUUUUGGUGGCAGCGAAGCUCCCGCAUGCCUCGCUGCAGUCAUUUCCCAGGAGAGGUCGGCAGGAGGUGGGCACCAGGGCAGCUGAUUCAGCAAUUGCUCUGAAUUCAGCUUUUUUCUUCAUUCCGUAUCAAAAAUAAGGAGCUGUUGUUUACGCCGGGCUCACUGAACGGCCCCCUGUUCCCAUGAUACCUAGAGGAGGCUGACAAUUAUCCUCCCUGGCUUCUCCCCGGAGCUAUUUUCUUUGCUGGCGGGGAGGAAAUUGUUCAUGUUUCAUUGGCGCUACCGUUGUUCCAGCUGCCAGAGCAGGAAUGUUUGUCCGCCAGCCUGCAUCGGUGGCAGCGGCUCCCCUUUGGACCUGCCAUCUGUUAGCUUAUCGCUGCUCUUAUCUGUGCCAUGGCAGGGGCUGGGGGCAUGGCCCCCGUGCCCAGCACUGCUCCAGCGUGCCAGCAGCAGCAGGGACAGGUAAGGGACACCUGGGGCAGGACGGGGGGGCUGCUCUGCCCAGAUCCUGUAGGAAAGCUUGAACUGUGUCGCCACGUCUCUCCUCGGCCGUGAUUGAUCCCUUACUGAAAUGCCUCCUUAAAUAUCCGCUGUAAAUAGCAGCUGCAGUGUAACACAGGGGGCUGCUAGUCCCUGAUUUACAAAACAAGGGUUCAUAUAAACAUCCUCUUUCGGAAGCCUUGCGUCAUCUGGGAAAAAAAAAAUAAAUAAUAAUAAUAAUAAAAUUUACAUUUCACCUGGUUCUUAUCCCACUGGGAUUCUCUGUACCAUGGGAUCCUCCCUGACUGGGAGGUUGUUUUUUUAGGGUUGAUUCCUGGGGAGGCCUGGAUUUUCAGAUGUUGCAGUCUCAGGCCUGACUGUGCUGCGAUUGCUGUUGGAAGAACUGAGACCCGAGAAAUGAGACCUAAAAAACAAGACCCGCAGCAUCCCUGGCCACCCCCCCAGGGCUGCAGCUUGAUCUUGGCAGUGCUGAACCCUCUUGUCCGGAGCCGUGUGGGUCAUUUCAUCUUCCAACCCUUGUUCCAAGCUCUCGUUUCCCUUUGUCUGGAGCCGGCGAGGGGCUGGUUUCUCCCCCCGGAGCGUGCAGUGCCGGAGCCGCGCCGCUGAGCGGCACCGUCCAUCCAGGCACCUCGUCCUGCAGGGCACCCGCACUGCUCCCCGAGCAGGUGGCCCCCGGGACACCUCACCCCUGGGGGGGCCUCAGCAGCACCCCCAAAAGCCGAGGGGUGAACCUAUAAAACGCCAGGGGUUGGGGAAAGCUAGGCUGAUAACCCCAACCACCCGUACGACACCCACGUUGCAUCCCAAUGCAAAGCACCUUUUGUGAUUUCCAGCGUUUGGACUUGGUAGGAAGCAUUCGUAUUUAUUUAUAUAUGUUCCCCCCUCUCUACUUUCUCGUCUUUGUUUUUUGAAUUUGCAUUCAUUGCCUCCAGCUGUUCAAAUGAUCUGAGAUUAAAAUGUUCUUCACAGCACUGUCUUUUCAGAGAUUUUAUUUUCUUUCCUUUUUUGAGAUGAAACUUAGAAGCAAAAGUUUUCGACUUUAAAAUAACUCAGUCUUUGGUGUUUGCUGUGCUGUGAAUGAUAUUUCCAGUAAAUGGCCUCACGUAAGUCAAUAUCUAAUUCGUGUCUACUUUCACUUUCUGACAAUUAUGACUGUUUUUUGACCUGGAAAUCUGGAAGCUUGUUUAUUAACCUGGUUUGAUAAGCUUAGUGAAGACACAAAAGUAAACUUUUACUUUAAAAGUAAAAAGGGGAACGUUUCAAGUCCUGUCAAACAGAAACAGGAUCUGCACUUUCCAUUAGCCCAGUUCCUUCAGUUUCUGACAGCACACCGUGCCUGAUGUCCUCAAAGCCCUGGUCUGAGGACUCAUGGCCAUGGCUGGUGCAGGACCACGUGGGGCUGUGGAGGAACACACACUGGUGUCCUCGUCCCCACACCAUGCAGGCCAGCAGGACAGCACAGCUCCUGUCUGGUAAAAACCUUUCCAGAGGAAACCACAGGGAAGGGAAUGACUGCGGGGGUGCACCUCCAUCCCGCCCUGGUCCUGACGUGUGUGUUUGGCUUCAGAAACUGGAAGUCUCCCAGGCUUGCCACUUUCCCUGUGGCCCCUGUGUCUGCUUUGCCUGGCGGAGCCACUUCCCCCCUCCACCUUUCCCGGCCCAGAACUGCAAUUUCUGUCCUUAUUCCCGUGUGUGUUUUGGAGAAGCCAGCCAGGCGUGACGCUUGGCCAUGCUGGAGAGCAGACUUGCUCCUGCAGUCCAACACACUGCCGGGGCAUUUUUAAACAAAGGACUGCAAGAUCUUCAAGCAACACGGGGGACAGUUCGCCAGUUCCUCGUGUAAUAGAAUGGGGUUAGUUUAUGUAUUUUUAAAGAGGACAGUUCAGGGGUUGACAGUCAGAGCUGAAAGCCUGAGGAAUGUGUAUUUGUUGUUGCCAGAUGACUUGACAGAUGACACCACGCACACCAGUAAUCAGCAGCCUUAAGUCAGUGCUUGGAGGAGACACCCAGAGCUGCAGCAUCUGUGGCGACCCGCAAGCCCAGCUUCCCAAAGCUAUUCAGGGUACCUAAACCUCACUGGAGUCAGUACGCCGACAUAAUCAGUGGGGACCUUGCAUGAAGAUCAGCUGCAAUGUCUUAAUUGUUGGUGCUUUUUCUUUCAGCAAGCUAAAGCUGGACCAGGCAAGGCUAUCCCAAGAGGUCAGCAACCAGUUGGAAAACCCACACCCACAGUCCAUGGCUGCAUAUCGCGGCUGCGUAACAAUGUGUGUUGUUUUCUCUGUCUUACAUGUUUUAAGAAAAAGAAAAAAGAAAAAAGAAAAAAAAGAAAAAGAAAAAAAAAAAGAAAAAAAGAAAAAGAAAAAAAGAAAAAGAAAGAAAGAAAAAAAAAAGAACAAAAAAAAAAAAGAAAAAGAAGAAGAAGAGGAAGAAGAAGAAAAAGUUUUUCCUUUCCUCCUCAGACCAGAGUGAAAUUCUCAUAGCACUACCCUUCCUCCCACAAAAGCCCUUACUCAAAGACUGGUGGCACAACAAACAAUUUAUUAUUUUUUUUUCUGAAAGAAAUACAGGCAACAGAGAGUCCUUUUGCCAGUCCCAUCCUUUCACUGGCAUUGAAUACAGAAAAGCUGCUCCUUGACAGUAGUCCUGCCAAGCCUAAAUGAGCUGUGUCAGCUCGGGUUUGGAUGAUUUCCCUGUCGGUCCCGGGCAUUUUCUUCUGCAGUCAUUGUAGGGCACAGGCAAAUUAGGCAGCUGCUGAGUAGAUAGAGCUGCGAAAUGGCCCAUCACCACUUUGCCAAGGCUGCAGAGCCCAUUGUGGGUCUCUGCAUCCUGCCCCCCACCCCCCCCUUUCAGUGGCAGAAGAAGACCCAGCAGCUCCUCUCCUUCUCCUUCACUGUCAGAAAAGCAAACCAAAACGUCUUCCAAAGUGUUGACCAGCCUCGAGGUGACUACCCAACUAGGACACUUUCCUAGUGCCACACCACACCAUCUCCAAAAUGCACUGUGCCUAUGGGCACCCCUGCACUCUCACGGCUUGCAGGGAGGGGAAGAAAGGUCACAAAGCCUCGAUGAACAGCAUAGCUGCAGCCUCAUAGUGCUUUGUUUAGGAAAACAGCUGCCUUCUUUUUUUCCUGUGUGGUCUGAGCAACAUGUAAGCAAGGACCAAAGUGCUUCCAUGCCAUGGUGGUGGUAUAAAAGCAGUAAUUGCUUGCAAAAGCCUCACUUGCAUGGGGAUCCCAGUGCAAGCACUGGGAAGUGACAGCCAGCUGUGUCCCCUGCCCUCCUCACACUCCUGCUCACCAUGGGGAACGUGUGGAGUCACCUCCCACACCCGAGCAGUUCGCUGGCAAUGUCCAUGACACAUUUGCCCCUUCUGCCCUCAUGUCCUGCAUCUCAGGGACUUCCUCCUAGCUGAAAAUAGAGGCUUAGGGAAUGACCUAUCUGUCUGCCCAAAAUUACAGGGGGAGGAAAAGCUCUUUGUGUGUAUUUUUCUUUGGAUUUUACUUUUUUGUGUGUGUGUGUGUGUAUUUGUGUUGCUAGCAUGACUGAAGAUCCCAGCUGAAGCUGUGUUAGGAGUUGUACCAGCACUUAAAAAGGUGGACGUGUCCUGAGGACCCUCCCAGGAAGCAAUGACAAGCGGUGGAAGUUGUUGAGAGAAUAGGGAGAGUGUCUAAUAAAACACACUAAAAUGAACAUCUGCUUUUUGGCUGGGGGUUACUGUAAAUAAAAUUAAAUUGGUUAUCUCUGA
Molecule: long non-coding RNA, 5636 nt
Organism: Anas platyrhynchos (mallard)
Lineage: Eukaryota; Metazoa; Chordata; Aves; Anseriformes; Anatidae
Source: RefSeq, a predicted model, not a curated record